Molecule: ribosomal RNA, 158 nt
Filed under: Ophiobolus artemisiicola
Lineage: Eukaryota; Fungi; Ascomycota; Dothideomycetes; Pleosporales; Phaeosphaeriaceae
Description: 5.8S ribosomal RNA
Rfam family: 5.8S ribosomal RNA
About the family: 5.8S ribosomal RNA (5.8S rRNA) is a component of the large subunit of the eukaryotic ribosome.
Source: RNAcentral
ACAACUUUCAACAACGGAUCUCUUGGUUCUGGCAUCGAUGAAGAACGCAGCGAAAUGCGAUAAGUAGUGUGAAUUGCAGAAUUCAGUGAAUCAUCGAAUCUUUGAACGCACAUUGCGCCCUUUGGUAUUCCAUGGGGCAUGCUUGUUCGAGCGUCAUU